AUGAUCCUGUGGCUGAAUUUGGUUUCCUUCCUAGCAGUCCUCAGAGGUGUCCUGUCAGAGGCCCAGCUGGUGGAAUCUGGAGGGGACGUGAGAAGGCCUGGAGAGUCCCUCCGUCUCUCCUGCCAAGCCUCUGGUUUCAACUUCGGGGGCUAUUGGAUGAGCUGGGUGAGACAGGCCCCUGGAAAAGGGCUGGAAUGGGUGGCACGCAUAUGGCCCGAUUCCAGUAAGCAGUACUAUGCAGAGUCUGUGAAGGGACGCUUCACCAUCUCCAGGGACAACUCCAAAAGCCAACUCUAUCUGCAAAUGAACAGCCUUAAACUGGAGGACACGGCAGUCUAUUACUGUGCGAGGGACACAGUGAGAGGAAGUGAGUCUGAAGCCUGGCAAAAACUC
Non-coding RNA from Candoia aspera, 393 nucleotides. The record is from the annotation of a RefSeq genome assembly. NCBI's taxonomy places the organism in Eukaryota, Metazoa, Chordata, Lepidosauria, Squamata, Candoiidae.